UUGCAGUGAUCAAAGCCAAUUUUUUAAUGACAGAAGACUGGGGAAGAACAAACACAUUUAUUUUACAUAUAAAGGUUUUCCUGUAGUAAGUCAAUCAACAAUGUAUUCUAGGACACGACGAUAUAUUUGAAUUUAAAUAUAUUAAUUUCAUCUAUCAAAGUGAAAAUAAUCUGACAAUUCCAACCAAAAUCUUUGUAGAAUUUUACUAUAAAAAAGGGUCAACAUCUCUCUCUCUCUCACUUUUGAGCAGAGCAAAGAUCUCAAAUUGUUAACGUAGCCGAAUUAAAACUAGCUGUUGGCGAUGACGUCACGGCAAUCUCUUCAACUGCCGUGUGUUUUCAGGCGGCAAAAAAGUGUUGUCAGGCGGCUAGUUUUUACCUCAGAGUUGACAGGAAUGUUAAAAAUGAACAAUGGUCCGGUAUUUCACUUGAGAACCUGAACGCUACAACCCAAAAACACUUCGGGACCCUGACAUUUCUAAGAUGGGUGACACUUCUUCAGGUGCGAAGCGAGUAAAUGACAGUUGGAGGUAGGCGGCGUUUGGAGACUCAUCUCGCAUGAUGACAGAUCAGGAGAUUUUAAACAGAUCAAAUUCACCGUAACUCCAACCUCAAGUAUCGACUAUCACGCAUUUAAGACCCAUUCCGGGCCUGACGCGGUGCAUGUCGGAUGAAGUAUUCAUAGAUUCUGCGGUAGUCUGUGAGGGAGGGAAAGCCCACACUGCUCUGGCAGAGAGAAACAUCUUGCAUAACACCUUGUCCUAAUGCAGAGAUAUUCACUAGUUAAGAAGAUGCAUCAGAUUGAGGAUGAGCAUUGCAGUUACCAUGGUGAUCCAGUCGGGCGCACGUUUUUCCACCCAUCUCUUGCCGUAGUGUGGAGGCAGGACUGUCCGGUAUACUUGAGGGAACACGGGGAGCAAGUCAACACCUGCAGAAGGCUGGAAACCCAACAAACGAGGUCUGGAUGGCAAAUCCCACUGGUAAAGACACACACAAAAGCGAGUCAUCAGCUGCAGAAAGAUUUGGAAAUUGACUUCUGUUUGUUACUCAACACUCCACGACUGGUAAAGACUGUGAAAUGAGCUAAAACGCUGUAUCGAUUAUUCAAAGAUGGACGAAAAAGGAGUGCCAAACAUACACACCGAACCCACCUUGGAUACUUUCCAAGCUAAAGGUUCGUUGAUGGCUCUUUGCAGAACAUCCAGUGAAAAAUGCUUUUGUUAUGAAGAACAUUAUUUGUCUGGUCUUGAGUAUAUGGUUUUUGGAGAUUAAAGUUUGUUUUUUAA
Long non-coding RNA from Triplophysa dalaica, 1285 nucleotides. RefSeq lists it as uncharacterized. NCBI's taxonomy places the organism in Eukaryota, Metazoa, Chordata, Actinopteri, Cypriniformes, Nemacheilidae. The record is from RefSeq and is a predicted model, not a curated record. The transcript has 7 exons.